AGUGGGACUGCUGGGUCAGAUGGUAGUCCUGUCUUAACUUUUCGAGGAAGCUCCAUGCUGUUUUCCACAGUGACAGUGCUAAUGUACAUUCCCUCCAGCAGU
Molecule: microRNA precursor, 102 nt
Filed under: Marmota monax (woodchuck)
Lineage: Eukaryota; Metazoa; Chordata; Mammalia; Rodentia; Sciuridae
Source: RNAcentral